UACGUAGGGGGCUAGCGUUGUCCGGAAUCAUUGGGCGUAAAGAGCGUGUAGGCGGCCCGGUAAGUCCGCUGUGAAAGUCGGGGGCUCAACCCUCGAAUGCCGGUGGAUACUGUCGGGCUAGAGUGCGGAAGAGGAAAGUGGAAUUCCUGGUGUAGCGGUGAAAUGCGCAGAUAUCAGGAAGAACACCCGUGGCGAAGGCGGCUUUCUGGGACGGUACUGACGCUGAGGAGCGAAAGUGUGGGGAGCGAACAGG
RNAcentral lists this ribosomal RNA (253 nucleotides) under uncultured bacterium. RNAcentral describes it as "partial 16S ribosomal RNA". It matches the Rfam family "Bacterial small subunit ribosomal RNA", at positions 524 to 776 of the family's 1533-position model. The record is from RNAcentral.